GACGAACGCUGGCGGCGUGCUUAACACAUGCAAGUCGAACGAAGUGGCGAACGGGUGAGUAACGCGUAAUCACCCUGCCCUUCAGCUGGGGACAACAGUUGGAAACGACUGCUAAUACCGCAUCCUGAAGAAGUGGAUUGCGUCUGAUUAGCUAGUUGGGAGGGUAACGGCCAACCAAGGCGAUGAUCAGUAGCCGGGCUGAGAGGAUGAACGGCCACAUUGGGACUGAGACACGGCCCAGACUCCUACGGGAGGCAGCAGUGGGGAAUCUUCCGAAAUGGACGAAAGUCUGACGGAGCAACGCCGCGUGAGUGAUGACGGCCUUCGGGUUGUAAAGCUCUGUUAAUCGGGACGCGGUACCGGAAUAGAAAGCCACGGCUAACUACGUGCCAGCAGCCGCGGUAAUUC
This 408-nucleotide ribosomal RNA is filed under the name uncultured bacterium. RNAcentral's name for it is "partial 16S ribosomal RNA". It matches the Rfam family "Bacterial small subunit ribosomal RNA", at positions 28 to 526 of the family's 1533-position model. The record is from RNAcentral.